Long non-coding RNA from Aquila chrysaetos chrysaetos, 776 nucleotides. RefSeq lists it as uncharacterized. The record is from RefSeq and is a predicted model, not a curated record. Lineage: Eukaryota; Metazoa; Chordata; Aves; Accipitriformes; Accipitridae. The transcript has 2 exons.
ACGCCAGCGUUUCGCCUCUUUUUUUUUUUUUUUUUUUUUUUUUUUUAGGGGUCCUGCCUCAUGUGCAGGUUGCCCUUGAAAUUGCCCUUCUCAGCAGCGUUCCCCCGCCCCUGUGUGACCUCCGAGGUCUCCCCGGCCCCUGUUCCCCUCAGGCCGCCUGACUCUGCUCCCGGCAGUUUUUCCACUCAGAGGUCCACAGCCUGGCCCCUGCUUGAAGAUUCCCGCUUCUGCCUGUCUCAUUCCUCUUUGCUCGUCAAACCAAAGCCAAUCCCCACAGAAAACCCUGAAAAGCUGCUCUCUGCCCUGAAUCUGCUGCGCUUCAUCCCAAAUGCUGAGGCCGAGACAGCUCUUGUCACCUUUCACCCCUGAUGUGGCGCGUCCCUGAGUCUGGCCUCUGGUGUCCUUUCUGAUGCACCAGAAUUGUUCCCUUUUGGACUGGCCACCAUCAUCCAUUGUUCUCCAUGAAACAGAAACUGCCGUUGCCCUCGGGGGAGAUGGUGGCUGCCUAUACUGUGAGGCAUCAUAAAACACAGACCCCGUUGGGAACAAUGGGGAAAAGCCUUCUCAACGUGGCCACCAGCUGAGGCCUGCCACCGCUCUCAGCCCGUCCGGAGCACGGGGGAGCGGCAGCCGCGUUGAGGGGAGGCGGUGGUCCACCGAGCAGCCUCUGGGCCCUGCCUGAGGGGAAAACAAGAUUACAUGCAAGAGGAAAACUACCCAAACAAAACCAGCUUAAUUACAAGAAGGAAGUGAAAUAAAGUCUUCGUGCAAGGUUA